Molecule: ribosomal RNA, 445 nt
Filed under: uncultured bacterium
Lineage: Bacteria
Description: bacterial SSU rRNA
Rfam family: Bacterial small subunit ribosomal RNA
Source: RNAcentral
CCCAGACUCCUACGGGAGGCAGCAGUGGGGAAUAUUGCACAAUGGGGGAAACCCUGAUGCAGCGACGCCGCGUGAGUGAAGAAGUAUUUCGGUAUGUAAAGCUCUAUCAGCAAGGAAGAAAAUGACGGUACCUGACUAAGAAGCCCCGGCUAACUACGUGCCAGCAGCCGCGGUAAUACGUAGGGGGCAAGCGUUAUCCGGAUUUACUGGGUGUAAAGGGAGCGUAGACGGCAUGGCAAGUCAGAUGUGAAAGCCCGGGGCUCAACCCCGGGACUGCAUUUGAAACUGUCAGGCUGGAGUGCAGGAGAGGUAAGUGGAAUUCCUAGUGUAGCGGUGAAAUGCGUAGAUAUUAGGAGGAACACCAGUGGCGAAGGCGGAUUGCUGGACAGUAACUGACGCUGAGGCGCGAAAGCGUGGGGAGCAAACAGGAUUAGAUACCCCUGUA